This 292-nucleotide ribosomal RNA is filed under the name uncultured bacterium. RNAcentral's name for it is "partial 16S ribosomal RNA". It matches the Rfam family "Bacterial small subunit ribosomal RNA", at positions 505 to 796 of the family's 1533-position model. The record is from RNAcentral.
GUGCCAGCCGCCGCGGUAAUACGGAGGGUGCAAGCGUUGUCCGGAAUCACUGGGCGUAAAGGGUGCGCAGGCGGGGCAGCAAGUCGGAGGUGAAAGCCCAUGGCUCAACCAUGGAAGUGCCUUCGAAACUGUUGCUCUUGAGUCCCGGAGAGGCUGUCGGAAUUCGUGGUGUAGCGGUGAAAUGCGUAGAUAUCACGAGGAACACCAGAGGCGAAAGCGGACAGCUGGACGGGUACUGACGCUCAGGCACGAAAGCGUGGGGAGCAAACAGGAUUAGAAACCCGAGUAGUCC